UUUAUUUCAUCCGGCGGCGAAAUCUUAACCCUAUUUGUGAAAUCUUAACCCUAUUUGUGAUUUUUCAUCCGGCGGCGAAAUCAGGCGACAAACACUCUUUUCGUUUCUUCUAUGUAGGUAAUUAGGGUUCUACAUUUCUUCACCGAUUUUUCUUUUUCCGAUAUUCCAUUGCUUGCUUGCUUCCUGCAAUUCAUCUUCCAGAUUUCAAUGUAGAUGGUAAAACCCCAGAUUUCGGGUGUUUUCUUUUUUUCCCGAUUGGUUCAUCUAUUUUUUCUGUAUGCAUCUGGUCGAGUUGUAGUGUGUGUUUGAAAGGAUCAAGAUAAAA
This 325-nucleotide long non-coding RNA is filed under the name Zostera marina. Its description in RNAcentral is "long non-coding RNA (ZMAR_LNC005790)". Lineage: Eukaryota; Viridiplantae; Streptophyta; Magnoliopsida; Alismatales; Zosteraceae. The record is from RNAcentral.